CCGCAUACGAUCUACGGAUGAAAGCGGGGGACCUUCGGGCCUCGCGCUAUAGGGUUGGCCGAUGGCUGAUUAGCUAGUUGGUGGGGUAAAGGCCUACCAAGGCGACGAUCAGUAGCUGGUCUGAGAGGACGACCAGCCACACUGGGACUGAGACACGGCCCAGACUCCUACGGGAGGCAGCAGUGGGGAAUUUUGGACAAUGGGCGAAAGCCUGAUCCAGCAAUGCCGCGUGUGUGAAGAAGGCCUUCGGGUUGUAAAGCACUUUUGUCCGGAAAGAAAUCCUUGACCCUAAUACAGUCGGGGGAUGACGGUACCGGAAGAAUAAGCACCGGCUAACUACGUGCCAGCAGCCGCGGUAAUACGUAGGGUGCGAGCGUUAAUCGGAAUUACUGGGCGUAAAGCGUGCGCAGGCGGUUUGCUAAGACCGAUGUGAAAUCCCCGGGCUCAACCUGGGAACUGCAUUGGUGACUGGCAGGCUAGAGUAUGGCAGAGGGGGGUAGAAUUCCACGUGUAGCAGUGAAAUGCGUAGAGAUGUGGAGGAAUACCGAUGGCGAAGGCAGCCCCCUGGGCCAAUACUGACGCUCA
Molecule: ribosomal RNA, 585 nt
Filed under: Burkholderia sp.
Lineage: Bacteria; Pseudomonadati; Pseudomonadota; Betaproteobacteria; Burkholderiales; Burkholderiaceae
Description: bacterial SSU rRNA
Rfam family: Bacterial small subunit ribosomal RNA
Source: RNAcentral